Molecule: long non-coding RNA, 3449 nt
Organism: Clupea harengus (Atlantic herring)
Lineage: Eukaryota; Metazoa; Chordata; Actinopteri; Clupeiformes; Clupeidae
Source: RefSeq, a predicted model, not a curated record
CGUGACCUGGUGAUCCAGCCAAGUUUCCACAUUUUAACCACAUUGUUUAUAUGCCACUGGUUUGAAGAUCUUACGUUAAAUGAUUUCUCAGGUGGUCUUACGCAAGGAUUUUGAUCUUCAGAAUCAACAGCAUGCAUUACGUCUUUUGACGCUACAUUCUAUGAAGUUGCAAAAAAAGCGCAAUGCUACAGGGAAACCGUAAGCCGAUACAUUUAUUCAUUCUUUUUUUCAGUCACUGCUCUAAGGUUAACUUAAGAAUCAACCAAACUAAUGAGGCAACCGAGACAGCAUGAAAUCAGUAGCGUGGGCUACCUGGCGACAACAAUGCGGGAUGUAUGCCACCAAAUUCCAAAAUUUCCCAAGUUUGACGACCUCGUUCCUACCUUUGGUCCUGCACACACCUCGGGCUGGUUGGAGUCAACGUUCAGUGAUGAUGGUCGGACUCGCUGCCUGAAAAGGGUGGAGGGGACGUGUCCCAGCAAGCCCCGGCCUCAGCUCUGCCUUUGGGAUGCACUCAGGUAUGUCGCCCUGGGAUACGAAGACUGCUGCGAGUCACAUUCCUGACCUCCAGUGCUCGAUUCUAUCAGCCUCGGGGGAAGGAUCUGGUUCCACGGAGGAGUCAUGGAGGUCCUCAGGAUCUAUUAUAUGACUUAUGACUGCCCGCAGAUGAUUUUCUUUUCAUCCUCAUCUCUCUCUCUUUCUCUCUCUUCUCUCUCUCUCAUUCUGCUCUUAACAAUUAAGAAUCUCUCUAUGGGGGAAAUCACAGAGAGUCAGACAUGUCUGAACUGCUGCAGCCACAUCAGAUGUCUGUGUAAAAGCUUCUAAUCGAGUGCGUAAAUAAAAGCUCCAAAGCCAAAGUGAACUAGGUAAGGGGAAUUUCAUGUCAUAAAUGCAGAUGUAAACAGAAAAUCUGUCCCAGUUGUGUCAGCAUCUGUAAUUUGGUUCUUUAUUGGAACAAGAGGACAAAAACAACCGACUCACUUAACCACGUGCACAUUGGUCUGCCAAAUACAGCUUUUUACGGGUUAUUGACAGUCCUGUCAUGCCACAUCUAAUGCAACUCUGCUGCCAUGUCUACUGACAGAUGCAAGUGGAGGACCUUUGAAACAACUCCAGCUGUGGCACAGAUGGAGUGAUCAAAGGGACAGCUGUUGACACACCGCAUUCUUGAUUAGACCCUCUAUCAUGUCCCCAUACAGGCGUCUGUGGUGACACUGUCGGGGGGCUGCAAAAGGUGCCAAAACCUGAGCAGGGAUGAGUGUGAAGGGGCUUUAUAUGACUCUAUUAUCACCAUCACGUCCAUGCAUUUUGAUCCUUCUGGUUUGAAACAACUUGAAGCAAAAAACACUGGCAACAUAGAAGACUUUUACACCAAGAACACUGACUACAUAGGUAUUGUUUAGUAUCAUAAUGUAAGCAGCUUUGUGAAGUUUGGCUCUUCAGCUCACUGUUAUUUAUGGAGUUGUGUUUUCUAUUUCAAUGAACCACAGUCGUCACAGGCCCUAAAUUAAAGUUCACGUCUACUUUGUAUUUGCUUUUAAUUUAUUGCCUGUGUUGUCUGAAUUAUAAUGCAUUGACAGGACCCUCCUCUGAGCUCGGAUGCUUCCACUAACAACCCUGCACAUUUCUCCACCAGCAUGAUGCUAUCUCUCCCCCCAUCCACCCAAUCACUGGGCCAGACCAGCCUGUCACAUGUGACAAUGACCUUAUUGUUGCCACGGCGCCCUGUUCAACAUGGGAUCCCCUUCUGCAUGCCACACAUUUAUGAGGGGGGGGACCCUGCCCCCUUUCCUCCCAAAGACACACACACUUUUUCUCAGCCAACUCAGGACCUUUUUACGAAGACAAACCCCUUUCUGUUCACUGUCUGUGGCCUGGGAGGCCACUCUCGCCCACUAAAGCCAGUAUAAAACCUUCUGUUCGUAACAAAGAGUGGUUAUGAGUUUUUUUUUUUAACUUUUUCUUUUCCUGCAAAAAGUAAAUACAAGUCCCCUGCGUUGAAUUUUUGUCCAGUGGUUAAGUUUUCCAUAAUGGGUGCUGUUUUUUGUGCUUGCACCUGCAAUUGUUCUGUGUGAGGUUUUUUUUUCCACAACCAAUUGGUUAAAUAUACAAAUCUCCAGUCCAAUAUAAACAAGAAAGAGGAUGUGGACUGUUUUUACAGCUGGGUGUAAAUUCAGCAUUAUACUGCAUUAAUAUAAAAUUUACAUUAGGGUCGGCCAUGAUGACUGGAAUACCAUAUGCAUGUAUUUUAUGGCGACGUUUGAAAGGAGGAAGAAAUAAAAGCAAAUGUUGCACAUGGAGAGCAGAUUACCACUGGAGACGCAUCUCCUCAUAUGCAAACUCUGUUCCUGAAGUAUUAAGCGUUCAUGUUACAUUUGAAAGAGACACUAUUGGGAUUGCUUGAGACUUUUACCUCUGUGUUCUCCUAUACUACAUAAGAUCAUAUAUAUGUCAGCACAUCUCUGAAGAGAUUCAAAGACACAGACCAACAACACUCAUUUUAAUGGAGAUUGGAGCCUAUUCGAUAAUGCCAAUCAUCACACCUUGCUCAGGGUUUAAGUUAUAACAUUCUGUUGUUGCAUAUGCUGUACCUUUAUCUCUGCUAAACCCUUUAAUAUAAUUCCCUGUAAUGCAUACCUUUUUAUUCAUCACAUUUCUUUUACUGCCACCACAUUUUUGUCAGCAGGUCAGGAAAAGCUGAUUUCAUAAAGCAGUGAUCAAAUAAAGCAACAUAUUUAGUCUGUUUCCACAUAAUUGAGUUGCAAAUACAUCUACUCAAACUCCUAAAUCCCCUUAUAUCUGACAAUACAGAAGAUGAAGCAUAAUGCCAUAAUCACUAAAACAACUUUCUUGCACCUGCUGUAGAUUAAUCUAGUGUUGUCUAUAAACAACAGCUAUGUAAAACUCCAAACUUUAGAUUCCAUUCUGGCUUUUUUUUCCCGAUGUCCACAAAAGAAGACUAUCCUUUCUCAUCAUCUGAUGAAGAGAUAAGUCACCUAUCCUGGCCGACUGCACAUCAGUACACGUGACGUGCCCAACAGACACAACACAGCUUCAGUCUUGCAAGGGCUUGCAGGUAGAGCUUGGUCCGGACUGUAUUGGCAUGCAGCGUUUCCAAUAAUAUAAACAAUGCUGUCUUUGUUUCUCCAAUGAAAGCACACACGCUUAUUAAAUAAGGGAUAAUGUGCCUUAAGCCGAUGUAUUCACUAAAAGGACAAAAAACAAAGAAAAGAAAUUCGGAUGUGACCCACUUAUAUUUGUGGUUCGGUCUAUUGAACACGUUGACGUAAACCAUAACUUUGUAUUGUGUGACAUAUCGUUGUAAAAAAUAUUAGCAUAUCCACAAGCUUCAGUUUCAUAAAGUGAUUAUUUCUUACCAUUACUGAUAAGAUGUCUGUCAUGUUCACAUACAACGUCAGAAUCUCUCCCCCAGGUGUUCAGUGUAGUUU